AGUCUGGUGUGGCGAUUGAGCUGGGGUGUUCCUGUAAAGGGGAUCUGGCUGCUGCUCAUAAGAAGUGCGCAGAGACUUGGUUCAAGAUCAAAGGCAACAUGUAAGUUAAAAAUCUUUCCUUUUUUAUACAGAUGCUGUUACUAGUAGUCUGUUUUGGUUGGAGAUUUCUGGAUUGGAAGUUCAAGCACUAAUCUUUUUUGCUUGAUCCAAAAUACCAAGAUCAGAUCAUCUGUCUUUAAUGAUGAUGGUAUCAUCAUGAGGAUGUUGUUGAAUUUUUUUUCUUUGUCUGUCCUGUGUAAUGUACUUCUUCAGCAAAAAGUUUUCCCUUUUUCCUCCAACUGAAAAACUUAAAGUAGAAAGCAAAGCACAAAUGUUCCACUAUAAUAAAGUAGCUUGCUUGUCACACAAAAACCAGACUCCUAUUUAUAGCUCCUACAGAUCUUAUGGAAUCUAAUAGACUAAUACCCCAUUUCUUGUUCUGUUUUCAUGUUUCCUCUGUUCUCAAUUGCUCUUCGUCUGCUGCCAAGAAUGGGAAUUCUAUCCUUGAUAACCAAACCAAUAUUUCCAUGUGCUUGAGUGUGAUUAAUUGGCCUGAAUAUAGAUAGGGGUUAAUCUCUCUAGUGGAAUUUCAGUUUUUCCAUAAGUGAGCAGGCAUGCUUUGUAACCGUCCUAUUAUGGAUGACAUUACACUACUCUUUAUCGUAUGUGUAGUUGUAGCUUGUAACUGUUGUUAGCUUUAGUUUCCCAUCCUGCUACGUUUCAUCCGUCCUUAUCUCUUUUGCUUCUUUGUGACAGAUGAGGCAGAGGGGGGAAUUCUGUACAGAAUUUAUGUAAAGUGAGAGUGUAAAAAAGAAAGUUAGGACCUUGUGUCAUUACUGAGGACUCUAGCAGCUUUUCUCCUUUGCCUUUUCUUUUCUGGAAUCGAAAUGUGGAAUGCUUUAAAGCUUUACUUGUUUGGUUGCCCUUUUCCCAUGGAGAAGGAUGUGUUCAUAUUCAAGAACGAGCUACCCUUCUUUAUUUUACCACUUUUCAGAAGGUAUUGAGUGCACUGGUGUCCAAUGUAAGCCGAGACAUUAUUCAGAGUGCAAAGUGCUCUCAUCUAGUUUGUUCUGAUGUAAUCAACCCUCAUCCAAGAACUUCCAAAUGAAUCAGCUUAAAUGCUUCUCCUUUCUAGGCCAAAGUUCAAAUCUUUUUGAACUUGACAUGAGCAUGCUUGACUGAAUCCAGCUUAAGACACUUUACAAAGUGUGUGGAGACUAAGACAUGAACUGGCCGGAAAGUCUGAACCAGUUUUGUCUGCUAAAACUAGAUCAUGUAUCUGAUAUGUUUUCCUCUGUUUCUAAUUUCUGUCUCUUGUAGGGUAUGUGAGAUC
RNAcentral lists this long non-coding RNA (1372 nucleotides) under Linum usitatissimum (flax). Its description in RNAcentral is "long non-coding RNA (LUSI_LNC002266)". The record is from RNAcentral. Lineage: Eukaryota; Viridiplantae; Streptophyta; Magnoliopsida; Malpighiales; Linaceae.